RNAcentral lists this ribosomal RNA (374 nucleotides) under uncultured organism. Its description in RNAcentral is "partial 16S ribosomal RNA". It matches the Rfam family "Bacterial small subunit ribosomal RNA", at positions 527 to 896 of the family's 1533-position model. The record is from RNAcentral.
GUAGGUGGCAAGCGUUGUCCGGAAUUAUUGGGCGUAAAGCGCGCGCAGGCGGUCCUUUAAGUCUGAUGUGAAAGCCCACGGCUCAACCGUGGAGGGUCAUUGGAAACUGGGGGACUUGAGUACAGAAGAGGAAAGCGGAAUUCCAAGUGUAGCGGUGAAAUGCGUAGAGAUUUGGAGGAACACCAGUGGCGAAGGCGGCUUUUCUGGUCUGUAACUGACGCUGAGGCGCGAAAGCGUGGGGAGCAAACAGGGAUUAGAUACCCUGGUAGUCCACGCCGUAAACGAUGAGUGCUAAGUGUUAGGGGGGUUUCCGCCCCCUUAGUGCUGCAGCUAACGCAUUAAGCACUCCGCCUGGGGAUACGGCCGCAAGGCUG